This 76-nucleotide transfer RNA is filed under the name Pseudomonas fluorescens. RNAcentral describes it as "tRNA-Arg". It matches the Rfam family "tRNA". From Rfam's summary of the family: Transfer RNA (tRNA) molecules are approximately 80 nucleotides in length. Their secondary structure includes four short double-helical elements and three loops (D, anti-codon, and T loops). The record is from RNAcentral. RNAcentral also lists the same sequence under 1 other name. Lineage: Bacteria; Pseudomonadati; Pseudomonadota; Gammaproteobacteria; Pseudomonadales; Pseudomonadaceae.
GCGCCCGUAGCUCAGUGGAUAGAGCAUCAGCCUUCUAAGCUGUUGGUCGCAGGUUCGAUUCCUGCUGGGCGCGCCA